RNAcentral lists this transfer RNA (123 nucleotides) under Caudoviricetes sp. RNAcentral describes it as "tRNA-OTHER". The record is from RNAcentral. Lineage: Duplodnaviria; Heunggongvirae; Uroviricota; Caudoviricetes.
UAGCUCAGUUGGAUAGAGCACUUAAUGUUACUCUGUCAAAUGUUCCAUAGUAAUAUUGGUGGCAGAUAGAGUUACUUCAGUAUGUGGAACCAGUGGUCAUAGGUUCGAGUCCUAUACUCCUCC